Bradysia coprophila is the source of this 76-nucleotide long non-coding RNA. The record is from RefSeq and is a predicted model, not a curated record. NCBI's taxonomy places the organism in Eukaryota, Metazoa, Arthropoda, Insecta, Diptera, Sciaridae.
CUUUUUUUCCCCAUCAAAUAGCUUUUGAAUCGGCGCUCGCAAAAUGAGGUAUCGAACAUCAAUUAAGACAACAUUG